This 252-nucleotide ribosomal RNA is filed under the name uncultured bacterium. RNAcentral describes it as "partial 16S ribosomal RNA". It matches the Rfam family "Bacterial small subunit ribosomal RNA", at positions 84 to 334 of the family's 1533-position model. The record is from RNAcentral.
CCAUGAGUAAAGUGGCGACCGGGUGAGUAACACGUGACUAACCUACCCUUGAGUGGGGGAUAACCUCGGGAAACCGGGGCUAAUACCGCAUAAAAUCCUUGAAGUGGAAACUUUGGGGAUCAAAGGAGCAAUUCGCUUAAGGAGGGGGUCGCGGCUGAUUAGCUAGUUGGCGGGGUAAUGGCCCACCAAGGCUUUGAUCGGUAGCCGGCCUGAGAGGGCGCACGGCCACACUGGAACUGAAACACGGUCCAG